Alosa sapidissima (American shad) is the source of this 361-nucleotide long non-coding RNA. RefSeq lists it as uncharacterized. The record is from RefSeq and is a predicted model, not a curated record. Lineage: Eukaryota; Metazoa; Chordata; Actinopteri; Clupeiformes; Clupeidae. The transcript has 3 exons.
GACGAGCGAGCGGGUGUGUCAACGACAACGAUCAGUUAUGCCACCCAAGAAGAAGAAAGGGGACAUACAAAGCUUUUUCACUAUGCAGAGUCUAUAGUUCACCAUGGGGAGGAGGCGGCAAGGAGGUCCAUGGGCUCUAACCUGGGACUAGAGAUCCAGGUGAUGUGGUUUGGCUGGGGUGUGGUGAUAUUGAACCCAUUGAGACUAUACAGUACAUUUCACUUUAUGUCUAUUGAUGGACUGUUACACCUACCCUUUACUUAUGCCAAACCCAUUUCUGUUCUUUAAAUAUCAGAAAGCAAACUUACUGUUGAUGGCACUGAACUUCCACUUGGAAAUGUUUAUGGAACUUUUCUGAACU